AGCAGCCGCGGUAAUUCCAGCUCCAAUAGCGUAUAUUAAAGUUGCUGCAGUUAAAAAGCUCGUAGUUGAAUUUCAGGACCAAUAUGUCGGUCGUGCUUCGGUACGUACUGUCAUAAUUGGUUUCUCCCUUCUGAAGAACCUUGAUGUCAUUAAUUUGGUGUUUUGGGGAAUCAGGACUGUUACUUUGAAAAAAUUAGAGUGUUUAAAGCAGGCUCGCGCUUGAAUACAUUAGCAUGGAAUAAUGAAAUAGGACGUUUGAUUCUAUUUUGUUGGUUUCUAGGAUCGACGUAAUGAUUAAUAGGGAUAGUUGGGGGCAUUAGUAUUCAAUUGUCAGAGGUGAAAUUCUUGGAUUUAUUGAAGACUAACUACUGCGAAAGCAUUUGCCAAGGAUGUUUUCAUUAAUCAAGAACGAAAGUUAGGGGAUUGAAGACGAUCAGAUACCGUCGUAGUCUUAACCAUAAACUAUGCCGACUAGGGAUCGGAUGAUGUUAAUUUUUUAAUGACUCA
This 507-nucleotide ribosomal RNA is filed under the name uncultured Glomus. RNAcentral describes it as "SSU rRNA". It matches the Rfam family "Eukaryotic small subunit ribosomal RNA", at positions 569 to 1078 of the family's 1831-position model. Lineage: Eukaryota; Fungi; Glomeromycota; Glomeromycetes; Glomerales; Glomeraceae. The record is from RNAcentral.